Molecule: ribosomal RNA, 329 nt
Filed under: uncultured Atopobium sp.
Lineage: Bacteria; Bacillati; Actinomycetota; Coriobacteriia; Coriobacteriales; Atopobiaceae
Description: bacterial SSU rRNA
Rfam family: Bacterial small subunit ribosomal RNA
Source: RNAcentral
AUUUGUCGCAUGGCGAAUAUGGGAAAGCUCCGGCGGCAAGGAUGGGCCCGCGGCCUGUUAGCUAGUUGGUGGGGUAGUGGCCUACCAAGGCAAUGAUGGUAGCCGGUUGAGAGACCGACCGGCCAGAUUGGGACUGAGACACGGCCCAGACUCCUACGGGAGGCAGCAGUGGGGAAUCUUGCACAAUGGGCGAAAGCCUGAUGCAGCGACGCCGCGUGCGGGAUGAAGGCCUUCGGGUUGUAAACCGCUUUCAGCAGGGACGAGGCCGCAAGGUGACGGUACCUGCAGAAGAAGCCCCGGCUAACUACGUGCCAGCAGCCGCGGUAAAU